Molecule: long non-coding RNA, 239 nt
Filed under: Nicotiana benthamiana
Lineage: Eukaryota; Viridiplantae; Streptophyta; Magnoliopsida; Solanales; Solanaceae
Description: long non-coding RNA (NBEN_LNC001078)
Source: RNAcentral
GAAGAAAUAAAUCUAUUGACAUAAUGUUUAGAUGCAAAAAAAGGUACCUCCAUGAAGCUAUCGUUUUCGUGCUUUCCUACGCCUAGACUCUGCUUUCUGCCAUUUCUUUCUCGGUACCACUUUGCUCUUUGGUUUCAGUUUCAUUUCAGGAGAGAACUCAUAGUUUGGAUCUCUCAUACGAGCUUGUAUAUCUUUGAAAAACUGCAUAUUCAAUUUCUUAGGUCCUCCCUGUCUCAGUU